CGGUAAAGAGAUUUGGGUAUUGUUUUCUCAUGGCUUCCUCCGGUUCCCACGUAGCUUCUUCUACUCCAUGUCUUUGCCAUAACACUUUCACUAAAGCUAUACUUUUCUUUCUCAACUGUUUUACUUCUCGAGCCAAGAUCUUAAUCGGUUCCUCAUCAUAGGUCAAGUCCGAUCGAAUCUCAAUUUCUGUUGAAGAAAUCAUAUGUGAAGGAUCAGAACGAUAACGUCACAACAUUGAUACAUGAAACACGUUAUGAAUUCUUUCUAACUCUGUCGGUAAGGCCAACCGAUAUGCC
This 296-nucleotide long non-coding RNA is filed under the name Gossypium barbadense (sea-island cotton). RNAcentral's name for it is "long non-coding RNA (GBAR_LNC001588)". Lineage: Eukaryota; Viridiplantae; Streptophyta; Magnoliopsida; Malvales; Malvaceae. The record is from RNAcentral.